UUUAAUAAAUCACCAAAAAUAUGAUAUUUUUAUUAUUGAGAUUUAAUUUUAACUUUUACAGAAGGCAACACAAAUGGGAACUGAAAAGAGGUGAAGGGAGGUAACCAUGGAGGUAUAUGAGAGAUACCCACUGAUGAGAGCCCUACCCCUUGAUUGGAAGAAGAGUUCCUCUCAGAACUUUCAUUUAAAGAGGGUGCCCAGGUCAGUCAUCU
This 212-nucleotide long non-coding RNA is filed under the name Monodelphis domestica (gray short-tailed opossum). RNAcentral describes it as "lncRNA (ENSMODG00000038039.1)". The record is from RNAcentral. Lineage: Eukaryota; Metazoa; Chordata; Mammalia; Didelphimorphia; Didelphidae.